AUGGACGAGCUGGGUCUUCCAUGCCUGAAUCUAGAGCAUCUUGAGCGGCCGUUUACGGAGGAGGAGGUGGAAGGAGUGAUCAAGACGAUGCCUCGGGAUAAAGCGCCGGGCCCGGAUGGUUUCACGGGCAGAUUCUAUGCGACUUGCUGGAGUAUAAUCAAGGAGGAUUUCAUGAGAGCAAUGGGCUACUUCUACAAUGGUGACAUGAGGGGUUUGGCGACCAUCAACAAGUCCUUGGUCUCUCUUUUGCCCAAGAAGGAUGGUGCCCUGGAGGUGUGUGACUUCAGACCCAUAAACCUUGUGCAUGGGGAUGUGAAGAUCUUCGAGAAGGUGCUUGCGUGUAGACUCGUGGAAGAUCUACCUAAGCUGGUCGGUAAUCAUCAAAGUGCUUUCGUCAAGGGCAGAUUCUUGCAUGACAAUUUCAUGCUUGUGCAAAGUAUGGCAAGACGGCUUCAUGCUCGGAAGAGCUCGGUGAUUUUGCUUAAGCUAGACAUCUCGAAAGCUUUCGACUCGGUGCAAUGGCCCUUCUUGGUGGAGGUGUUGCAGCAUAUGGGUUUCGGGCCAAGGUGGAGGUCUUGGAUUUGUGGAAUACUUUCAACCUCGACCACAAAAGUAAUGGUCAAUGGUGCGUUGGGAGACACGAUCUAUAACUGCGAGGGGCUACGGCAAGGGGAUCCUAUCUCCCCAAUGCUUUGUAUUCUCAUUAUGGAGCCAAUGCAAAGGAUGAUGCAACUAGCUGUGACCCGUGGAGUGAUGGAGCCAUUGGCGCCUGUGGGAAUGGAGAAGCGACUAUCAUUCUUUGCGGAUGAUGUUGUCCUAUUUGUCAAGCCAAAUAAGGUAGACCUUGCGGCAUGCAAGUGUAUUUUGGAGCUUUUCGGCGAAGCUUCGAGACUAAGGAUCAACAUGCAAAAAUCGGACGCUAUUCCUAUUAGAUGCUCGGAGGAGCAAAUUACCAUGGCAAGUGCUGAGCUCCAAUGCCCCUUGGGAGCCUUCCCAAUCAAGUAUUUGGGGCUGCCACUCUCAUUAAGGAGGCCAUCGGCGAGUCAGUUGAAGUAUUUGGUGGAUCAAAUGGCUAAUAAGCUUCAAAGAUGGAAGGCAUCACUUAUGCCAAAGAGUGGCAGACUAACCUUGGUCCAAUCAGUGCUUUGUGCCAUGCCGAUCCAUGCAAUGAUGGCGUUGGAUCUACCGUUGAGAACACUCAAUGCAAUGAAGAAGAUUUGCAGAGGUUUCUUGUGGUGUAGACACGCGGAGGCUAAUGGUGGAAAUUGUGCGGUGGCUUGGGACGUGGUGUGCGCACCGAAGUGGGCAGGUGGCCUUGGCUUGCCAAACUUGCGUUGGAUGAACAUAGCUAUGCAAGCGAGAUGGCCGUGGCUUGCGAGGACUGACGAGACGAGGCCAUGGAGAGAGUUCAAGAUAAAGGUCCCGAAGGAGUCUUUGGGGAUUUGCAUGGCGGCUAUGAGGAGUGUGGCCAACUCUAGGCUCACGACACGCUUUUGGGAGGACCGUUGGCUUGAUGGUAACAGGAUUCAGGAGGUUGCACCGCUUCUCUACAAUUUGGUUCCUAAGCGCAUCAGAGAUUCCAGGUUUGUUGGUCCGGUGGUGGAGAAUGGGAGUUGGGCAUUGGACAUUGGCCCGGAUAUUGGACCGGCUGUGCUGCAUGAGUUCCUUUUGGUAUGGCAUAGGGUUUCAGCUUGGGAGCCAAGGGUGGAUGUGCCUGAUAAGGUGGUCUGGUCAUGGGAGGCCAUCGGACAGUUCUCCGUGAAAUCUGCUUAUGCGGCUGGUUUUUGGGGUCGAGAAGGAAGCCUGACGGCAGAUCUAACUUGGAAAUCACGUGCACCCUCAUGGUGCAGGUUCUUCACGUGGUUGGCCCUCAAGGACCGGUGUUGGACGUCGGACCGGCUAGCGAGAAGAGGGUUACCACACCAGGACGCAUGCCCAUUUUGUGACCAGGAGGAUGAAACCAUUAACCACAUUCUACUUGGUACGUCUCCAACGUACCUAUAA
RNAcentral lists this ribosomal RNA (2004 nucleotides) under Triticum aestivum (bread wheat). RNAcentral describes it as "partial small subunit ribosomal RNA". Lineage: Eukaryota; Viridiplantae; Streptophyta; Magnoliopsida; Poales; Poaceae. The record is from RNAcentral.